AUUGAACGCUGGCGGCAUGCUUUACACAUGCAAGUCGAACGGCAGCACGGGAGCUUGCUCCUGGUGGCGAGUGGCGAACGGGUGAGUAAUACAUAGGAACGUAUCCUGGUAGUGGGGGAUAACGCAGCGAAAGCUGUGCUAAUACCGCAUACGAUCUACGGAAGAAAGCGGGGGACCUGCAAGGGGCCUCGCGCUAUUGGAGCGGCCUAUGUCUGAUAGCUAGUUGGUGAGGUAAAGGCUCACCAAGGCGACGAUCAGUAGCUGGUCUGAGAGGAUGAUCAGCCACACUGGAACUGAGACACGGUCCAGACUCCUACGGGAGGCAGCAGUGGGAAUUUUGGACAAUGGGGCAACCCUGAUCCAGCCAUGCCGCGUG
Molecule: ribosomal RNA, 376 nt
Filed under: uncultured bacterium
Lineage: Bacteria
Description: bacterial SSU rRNA
Rfam family: Bacterial small subunit ribosomal RNA
Source: RNAcentral